GCACUCGUAGCUCAAUUGGAUAGAGCAUCUGACUACGGAUCAGAAGGUUGGGGGUUCGACUCCCUCCGAGUGUACCA
RNAcentral lists this transfer RNA (77 nucleotides) under Verrucomicrobiota bacterium. RNAcentral's name for it is "Verrucomicrobia bacterium tRNA-Arg". It matches the Rfam family "tRNA". From Rfam's summary of the family: Transfer RNA (tRNA) molecules are approximately 80 nucleotides in length. The record is from RNAcentral. Lineage: Bacteria; Pseudomonadati; Verrucomicrobiota.